RNAcentral lists this small RNA (83 nucleotides) under Marmota monax (woodchuck). Lineage: Eukaryota; Metazoa; Chordata; Mammalia; Rodentia; Sciuridae. The record is from RNAcentral.
GCCAGGCAUGGUGGCUCAUGCCUGUAAUCCCAGCCACUAGGGAAGCUGAGGCAAGAGGUUGGCAAGUUCAAAGCCAGCCUCAG